AUGGAGAAGACGCAGUGCGGUUCCAAGGGCAUUGCUCACCGGGCCUCGGCGGCCAGCGGCUCCGGCAAGCACAAGCGGAAGGGCGGCGGCGCCGGGGACAAGCCGAUCAAGGUGGUGUACAUCUCCAACCCGGUGCGGGUGUCGACCAGCGCGGCCGGCUUCCGCGCGCUCGUGCAGGAGCUCACCGGCCGCAACGCCGACCCGUCCAAGUACACCGGCAGCGGCGCCGUGGACGUCGGCGAGAGCAGCGCGGGGAGCCCGGCCGGCCCGCAGAUGGGCCCCGCGCCCAGCCCCGGCAGCACGGCGGAGUCAUCGGAAGGCGCCGCCGCCUGCAGCCACAACGUCCCGGCCACAACAGCGCCGGCGGGCUACGGGUACGAGGAGGAGGAGGACAGCUUCCCGCCGCAGCUGAUCGACAACAGGUACUCCGUCUUCUCGCCGCCGACGUUCCUCUACGGCUCGCACAACGAGUGGUGA
This 477-nucleotide ribosomal RNA is filed under the name Triticum aestivum (bread wheat). RNAcentral's name for it is "partial small subunit ribosomal RNA". Lineage: Eukaryota; Viridiplantae; Streptophyta; Magnoliopsida; Poales; Poaceae. The record is from RNAcentral.